GACCUGAUAGCUCAGUGGUUAGAGCAUCUGGUAUAUAAUUGGAUGGUCCUGGAUUCAAACCCCAGUCUGGUCA
Non-coding RNA from Pholiota conissans, 73 nucleotides. The record is from the annotation of a GenBank genome assembly. Lineage: Eukaryota; Fungi; Basidiomycota; Agaricomycetes; Agaricales; Strophariaceae.